ACGCUCGACCUACGGGGGCAGCAGUGAGGAAUAUUGGUCAAUGGGCGCUAGCCUGAACCAGCCAAGUAGCGUGAAGGAUGAAGGCUCUAUGGGUCGUAAACUUCUUUUAUAUAAGAAUAAAGUGCAGUAUGUAUACUGUUUUGUAUGUAUUAUAUGAAUAAGGAUCGGCUAACUCCGUUCCAGCAGCCGCGGUAAUCUGAGCGGGCUGGCAAGGC
This 215-nucleotide ribosomal RNA is filed under the name uncultured bacterium. RNAcentral's name for it is "partial 16S ribosomal RNA". It matches the Rfam family "Bacterial small subunit ribosomal RNA", at positions 328 to 539 of the family's 1533-position model. The record is from RNAcentral.